This 55-nucleotide transfer RNA is filed under the name Heligmosomoides polygyrus. RNAcentral's name for it is "tRNA-Ser2". The record is from RNAcentral. Lineage: Eukaryota; Metazoa; Nematoda; Chromadorea; Rhabditida; Heligmosomidae.
AAACUAUUAAAAAUUUGUUUUGAAAACAAAUUUAGAGAAUUUUUCUUGUAGUUUU